Molecule: non-coding RNA, 144 nt
Organism: Mus musculus (house mouse)
Lineage: Eukaryota; Metazoa; Chordata; Mammalia; Rodentia; Muridae
Source: Rfam
AAUUCCUGGCAAUGGGCAAAGACAAAGCUUGUUUAUGGUGUUGUACUUAUAUCAGACAGGGGCAGAGCAGAUGGCAGUCCUUUGUUCUUCUCACCUUGAUACAUGGCUUGGUGUCCAAAGCUGUCUUAUGCCUUGGACUUAUAA